This 450-nucleotide ribosomal RNA is filed under the name uncultured bacterium. RNAcentral's name for it is "partial 16S ribosomal RNA". It matches the Rfam family "Bacterial small subunit ribosomal RNA", at positions 354 to 796 of the family's 1533-position model. The record is from RNAcentral.
GUGGGGAAUUUUGGACAAUGGGCGAAAGCCUGAUCCAGCCAUGCCGCGUGCAGGAUGAAGGCCUUCGGGUUGUAAACUGCUUUUGUACGGAACGAAAAGACUCCUUCUAAUAAAGGGGGUCCAUGACGGUACCGUAAGAAUAAGCACCGGCUAACUACGUGCCAGCAGCCGCGGUAAUACGUAGGGUGCAAGCGUUAAUCGGAAUUACUGGGCGUAAAGCGUGCGCAGGCGGUUAUAUAAGACAGAUGUGAACUCCCCGGGCUCAACCUGGGAACUGCAUUUGUGACUGUAUAGAUAGAGUACGGUAGAGGGGGAUGGAAUUCCGCGUGUAGCAGUGAAAUGCGUAGAUAUGCGGAGGAACACCGAUGGCGAAGGCAAUCCCCUGGACCUGUACUGACGCUCAUGCACGAAAGCGUGGGGAGCAAACAGGAUUAGAUACCCUAGUAGUCC